Molecule: ribosomal RNA, 467 nt
Filed under: uncultured bacterium
Lineage: Bacteria
Description: partial 16S ribosomal RNA
Rfam family: Bacterial small subunit ribosomal RNA
Source: RNAcentral
GACGAACGCUGGCGGCGUGCUUAACACAUGCAAGUCGAACGGAAAGGCCCUGCUUUUGUGGGGUGCUCGAGUGGCGAACGGGUGAGUAACACGUGAGUAACCUGCCCUUGACUUUGGGAUAACUUCAGGAAACUGGGGCUAAUACCGGAUAGGAGCUCCUGCUGCAUGGUGGGGGUUGGAAAGUUUCGGCGGUUGGGGAUGGACUCGCGGCUUAUCAGCUUGUUGGUGGGGUAGUGGCUUACCAAGGCUUUGACGGGUAGCCGGCCUGAGAGGGUGACCGGCCACAUAGGGACUGAGAUACGGCCCAGACUGAUACGGGAGGCAGCAGUGGGGAAUAUUGCACAAAGGGCGGAAGCCUGAUGCAGCAACGCAGCGUGCGGGAUGACGGCCUUCGGGUUGUAAACCGCUUUCGCCUGUGACGAAGCGUGAGUGACGGUAAUGGGUAAAGAAGCACCGGCUAACUACGU